AGAUAUAUACAUAUGUGUGUGUAAAGUAAACUAUUGCUAUCUAUGUAAUUACUGGAAUAUUCCAACCAUAGGAAGACAUCAUGGUUACUGAUAAGCAAUAUUUCUUUUUUGGUUCCAUAGACCCUGAUCAUCUACUUUCUGGACUGUGUAAUGGAAGAAGGUAUUAAAGUUCUGUUCCUGUGCAUCUGAAAUGGCAGCAUUACUCACGACUGACAAAUCCAUAGAAAUGAUGGAUGGGAGUCCAAAUUUAGACAUCUGCAUCCAAGACAGCCAUCCAGACUCCCUUCACAGCUAGUGCAGAGGCAUUCUGAGGAUACACUUCCUCUCACUCCAAAAUAAGACAUUCAAAUUUAAUCAGAAGAAAAAUGUACCAAAAGGUGUUUGUCUCCACUGAAUAUUAGGAGAGUCUCCAUGAUAACUCAGCCCAGCCAUGAGCCGCAGGAUACUUGGACUUUGCAAGAGAGAGAAGAGGUGGGGUGGUAUAAGGAAAAAGGAAAAGGGUGGGGUAAAAAUGUUUGUUCCACAAGGUGUCUCUAGGAAAGCUGCAGAUUUCUGGUCUUUGCUGAUUCUGGGGUGUCCAAAGGAUGAAUCCUGGUCUGUUUCCAUGUUCCUGAAUGAAGGUGUUAUGGGCAAAUGGCCCUAAGUCUCAUCCUGUGGGAUGCAGAUGAGUGCUGGGACCACCAAGUUAAUGGUGGAGUCCGAAGACAACCUUUAUGUGUUAGGGACUUGGGAAGCAAUCUAAUUUCCCUGUUUCUCUUCCUCUUCUCAUUUUCAUCAUCUCCAGUACCACAGAUACUUGGUUUCUUGCUGGGCAGGUGGUUCUAAAACCUGGGGGAGGUGACUGAGAAAACUCAACCAGCCCUUCUGGAUCCCUCUUGAGGACAGAACCCCAGCUGUGUGAUGCUAUCACGUUUCAUUUCUGGGUUAACUGUGGUUGAAUCCUCGGUGCUUGCUGUGACUCACCAGCACAACUAAAUGUGCGUUCAGAGUGGAUACCUGUUUGCAAGUGCUACCAGAUACAUCUCUUUCUAGUGAGAGAAACCAAGGAAUUUGAAGAGAACGAUAAAAAAACCCAAGCAGACAGUAGUCUAGCCUAGUCCAAAUUUAACAUUUAGAAAGCUGAUCUAGGCUCAUCUUUUUCAGAUUAACUUUGAUUUACAUUGAAUUUCAAUUCUUAUUAUUCUAAUAUGCAAUAAAUGUAAAGUAGCUAUGCAAUAAAACUCUUUUAUAAUUCAGACAGUUGCAACAUUAAAAGUUUGUGUUAACCAAAGCUUCACAUCUACUCAGUAAAAUUGAGUGUACUUUUCUUCAAAGCUUUAUUUUUGGCUACAAGAAAGUAAAAGCAAAAUAAAACUUUGACAAAAUGUAGUCUAAAGCUCAGAUGUCUAUCAUCUGAUAUGCUUAUGUCUAUCAUCGUUGAUUGUAUAAUCUCAUUUUAAAUUAUAAAUUCUUUUGAAACAGUGCUAUGUUUAUCUAUAUUUUACAUAAACCCAAAUAUUAUAUCACAUGUAAGAAAAAGUAUAAAAAAACUCCCACAGGAUUUUCACAUUUACAAAGUAUAUUAUGAUAAUUUGGAAUAUGAUAUUUGAGUUGUUACCUAUGGCAUCCACAUAAUUAUUGAAAAGGUACUUUGUCUUAAAAGAAAAACUAUGCACAUGACACAGGAAUCUGUACAGGUUGAGUACAUCAAGUUCAGUUCCAUGAAAAUUUUGGUGGAAUGGGGCAUAUCCAUAGGUUUGAGUUAAAUAGUCAAUGCUGGGAUGGCAAAAUCUUAUUUGUCUAAGAUAUUUGAGGAAUAAAUUGCUUUUUCAGGGUGGAGUUUCAUCUGAUUAUAUUGUAAUCAAUUCAGAAUAAGAGGCCUUUGA
Zonotrichia albicollis (white-throated sparrow) is the source of this 1865-nucleotide non-coding RNA. The record is from RefSeq and is a predicted model, not a curated record. NCBI's taxonomy places the organism in Eukaryota, Metazoa, Chordata, Aves, Passeriformes, Passerellidae.